This 367-nucleotide long non-coding RNA is filed under the name Musa acuminata (dwarf banana). RNAcentral's name for it is "long non-coding RNA (MACU_LNC010075)". The record is from RNAcentral. Lineage: Eukaryota; Viridiplantae; Streptophyta; Magnoliopsida; Zingiberales; Musaceae.
UCACAUGUGUGCGGGUAAAGAAGAGGUAAUCACGAGGAAGGAGAGAACGAACGAGGAGGAUGGACGAGUACCGUGACAACGAGGGCGGAGGCGGCCAGGGCGAAGCCGGCGAGCUUUACGCCAUCAGCGCACUUCUGGGCCAUCUCUCGGACGUCCGACUGCAAGGAGCAGGUGAGCCUGGCACUGGCAGCAGGCUCAAGGCCGAAGGCCUUGGUGAGGUGAGAUGAGGACCUCAAUUGCACUCCUGCAGCGGUCCGGCUGGUGGCGCCGACCUUUGCCGGCUGCAUGAGGGUAGCGGCGGCCUGGAGGGACGCUGCCAUUCUUCUUUGCUACUGUGCCUGUGCUGCUUUCCUCCUCCUCUUCUUCU